AACAUUUUCUCUUGCAUAAGAGAAAAUUGAAAGAUGGUUUCGGCUAUCACUUACAGAUGGGCCCGCGGUGCAUUAGCUAGUUGGUGAGGUAACGGCUCACCAAGGCAACGAUGCAUAGCCGACCUGAGAGGGUGAUCGGCCACACUGGGACUGAGACACGGCCCAGACUCCUACGGGAGGCAGCAGUAGGGAAUCUUCCGCAAUGGACGAAAGUCUGACGGAGCAACGCCGCGUGAGUGAUGAAGGCUUUCGGGUCGUAAAACUCUGUUGUUAGGGAAGAACAAGUACAAGAGUAACUGCUUGUACCUUGACGGUACCUAACCAGAAAGCCACGGCUAACUACGUGCCAGCAGCCGCGGUAAU
Molecule: ribosomal RNA, 363 nt
Filed under: Priestia flexa
Lineage: Bacteria; Bacillati; Bacillota; Bacilli; Caryophanales; Bacillaceae
Description: bacterial SSU rRNA
Rfam family: Bacterial small subunit ribosomal RNA
Source: RNAcentral